GUCUCUGAUUCAAAAUAUAAUUGUACUUGGGUUAAUUAAUUGUUGUCAUUGUACACAAAAUUAUUCAAUAAAAUCGUAUUAUCAAACUUCUCCAUGAGCGUGCUAAAAAUAAACUCUGACUAUUAUUCAUGAUACAAAAAAGUACCAUUAGAGACACACAUGCUAAUACUGCUAUUGGCAUGACUCAUGACUCAUGAUAAGUACUAAGUUUUUAAAUGCAACACUGCUUUUGGCAUAACUCAUGAUACUGCUAGUUUUUAUUUCUCAAAGCAAUGGCUAUCAACUUUGUUAGGAUUUAUUAACAAUCAGGUGUUGUUCUGAAUACUGAUCAGAUAAACAAAGAUAUCCAAGAUCCAAUUGUUAGUGCUUCUGAAUUAAUUUAUGAAGUAAACCUAUUUUCUAUCACCGUACAUACACUUUUGAUUCACAGUGCUCUUGUACAUAAUAAAUGGUCAUUCAGAUUCAAUGUUUCUUGCUAUACCUUCCAUCACAUCUGUCAUGAUCUGGGGGCCACUCUUGUUCCCAAUUUAGGUGAACAAAUUUAAUAACCAUAAUCUGGGUGAAUAUUUAAUGAAUUUAUCAUGAUCGCAAAUGCAGUACAUGUUGUGGCAUUGGUUGGGUGUCCAUGUCGUAUAAGCAUCAUAGUUGUGAUGUGAUUUUUCCAGAGUCAAAACUACUGCAUGGGACAAGAUCUCAAAUCUCAAAUAUCUACCAAAGCCAUGCCUAAAAACAAGAUCUAAAGCCACAGGAAGAAAAUAAGAAAACAAGAUCCAAAGCAAUACCUGA
Molecule: long non-coding RNA, 786 nt
Filed under: Sorghum bicolor (sorghum)
Lineage: Eukaryota; Viridiplantae; Streptophyta; Magnoliopsida; Poales; Poaceae
Description: long non-coding RNA (SBIC_LNC013929)
Source: RNAcentral